UACGUAGGGUGCAAGCGUUAAUCGGAAUUACUGGGCGUAAAGCGUGCGCAGGCGGUUUUGUAAGACUGUCGUGAAAUCCCGGCGUACUGGAGUGCGAUGUGACUGCAAGGCUAGAGUUUGGUCAGAGGGGGGUAGGAAUUCCACGUGUAGCAGUGAAAUAGCGUAGAGAUGUGGAGGAACACCGAUGGCGAAGGCAGCCCCUCGGGUGAAGACUGACGCUCAUGCACGAAAGCGUGGGGA
Molecule: ribosomal RNA, 240 nt
Filed under: uncultured bacterium
Lineage: Bacteria
Description: partial 16S ribosomal RNA
Rfam family: Bacterial small subunit ribosomal RNA
Source: RNAcentral